Molecule: ribosomal RNA, 696 nt
Filed under: Pseudomonas baetica
Lineage: Bacteria; Pseudomonadati; Pseudomonadota; Gammaproteobacteria; Pseudomonadales; Pseudomonadaceae
Description: bacterial SSU rRNA
Rfam family: Bacterial small subunit ribosomal RNA
Source: RNAcentral
GGAGCUUGCUCCUGGAUUCAGCGGCGGACGGGUGAGUAAUGCCUAGGAAUCUGCCUGGUAGUGGGGGACAACGUUUCGAAAGGAACGCUAAUACCGCAUACGUCCUACGGGAGAAAGCAGGGGACCUUCGGGCCUUGCGCUAUCAGAUGAGCCUAGGUCGGAUUAGCUAGUUGGUGAGGUAAUGGCUCACCAAGGCGACGAUCCGUAACUGGUCUGAGAGGAUGAUCAGUCACACUGGAACUGAGACACGGUCCAGACUCCUACGGGAGGCAGCAGUGGGGAAUAUUGGACAAUGGGCGAAAGCCUGAUCCAGCCAUGCCGCGUGUGUGAAGAAGGUCUUCGGAUUGUAAAGCACUUUAAGUUGGGAGGAAGGGCAGUAAAUUAAUACUUUGCUGUUUUGACGUUACCGACAGAAUAAGCACCGGCUAACUCUGUGCCAGCAGCCGCGGUAAUACAGAGGGUGCAAGCGUUAAUCGGAAUUACUGGGCGUAAAGCGCGCGUAGGUGGUUCGUUAAGUUGGAUGUGAAAUCCCCGGGCUCAACCUGGGAACUGCAUUCAAAAACUGUCGAGCUAGAGUAUGGUAGAGGGUGGUGGAAUUUCCUGUGUAGCGGUGAAAUGCGUAGAUAUAGGAAGGAAACACCAGUGGCGAAGGCGACCACCUGGACUGAUACCUGACACUGAGGUGCAAAAGCGUGG